This 703-nucleotide ribosomal RNA is filed under the name Klebsiella pneumoniae. Its description in RNAcentral is "bacterial SSU rRNA". It matches the Rfam family "Bacterial small subunit ribosomal RNA", at positions 801 to 1506 of the family's 1533-position model. Lineage: Bacteria; Pseudomonadati; Pseudomonadota; Gammaproteobacteria; Enterobacterales; Enterobacteriaceae. The record is from RNAcentral.
CUAGUCGAUGUCGAUUUGGAGGUUGUGCCCUUGAGGCGUGGCUUCCGGAGCUAACGCGUUAAAUCGACCGCCUGGGGAGUACGGCCGCAAGGUUAAAACUCAAAUGAAUUGACGGGGGCCCGCACAAGCGGUGGAGCAUGUGGUUUAAUUCGAUGCAACGCGAAGAACCUUACCUGGUCUUGACAUCCACAGAACUUAGCAGAGAUGCUUUGGUGCCUUCGGGAACUGUGAGACAGGUGCUGCAUGGCUGUCGUCAGCUCGUGUUGUGAAAUGUUGGGUUAAGUCCCGCAACGAGCGCAACCCUUAUCCUUUGUUGCCAGCGGUCCGGCCGGGAACUCAAAGGAGACUGCCAGUGAUAAACUGGAGGAAGGUGGGGAUGACGUCAAGUCAUCAUGGCCCUUACGACCAGGGCUACACACGUGCUACAAUGGCAUAUACAAAGAGAAGCGACCUCGCGAGAGCAAGCGGACCUCAUAAAGUAUGUCGUAGUCCGGAUUGGAGUCUGCAACUCGACUCCAUGAAGUCGGAAUCGCUAGUAAUCGUAGAUCAGAAUGCUACGGUGAAUACGUUCCCGGGCCUUGUACACACCGCCCGUCACACCAUGGGAGUGGGUUGCAAAAGAAGUAGGUAGCUUAACCUUCGGGAGGGCGCUUACCACUUUGUGAUUCAUGACUGGGGUGAAGUCGCAAGGGGGGAACACACA